UACGAAGGGGGCUAGCGUUGCUCGGAAUUACUGGGCGUAAAGCGCACGUAGGCGGCUUCUUAAGUCGGUGGUGAAAUCCUGGAGCUCAACUCCAGAACUGCCUUCGAUACUGGGAAGCUCGAGUCCGGGAGAGGUGAGCGGAACUGCGAGUGUAGAGGUGAAAUUCGUAGAUAUUCGCAAGAACACCAGUGGCGAAGGCGGCUCACUGGACAUGUAUUGACGCUGAGGUGCGAAAGCGUGGGGAGCAAACAGG
Molecule: ribosomal RNA, 253 nt
Filed under: uncultured bacterium
Lineage: Bacteria
Description: partial 16S ribosomal RNA
Rfam family: Bacterial small subunit ribosomal RNA
Source: RNAcentral